Oncorhynchus tshawytscha (Chinook salmon) is the source of this 732-nucleotide long non-coding RNA. NCBI's taxonomy places the organism in Eukaryota, Metazoa, Chordata, Actinopteri, Salmoniformes, Salmonidae. The record is from Ensembl.
ACAGGAUGGAGUGUCAGAAGCUGCUGGAGGUUCAGGGGCAAGGGAAGUCUAGCCGCCAUAAGAAUCGAGUGGCGCUCAUGUUCAAGGCCUCGGAGGCCAACCUGGACAGGACAGCCUUACUCAUAGCCAACAACCCCCUUCCUGACCUCCAUAACCUGAAGGAGGGUGACAGCCCCACCAAAUACCUGGCAGGCAACCCCCCCGCCCCCGCCCCCGCCAAGGUCAGAGGUCAUUAAAAAAAAUAAUGUGAUGUUGAGCAAAACCCCCAAGCCUGACUGAUCAUAAACCAAGAGUAAUGUGGAAAUCUUGAAUAUUGAAUGCUCUUAAAUUGAUCAAUUGGCUGUUCUCUCAGAGGCUUGAAGCCAUUCGGGGUCGUCAGAGUGGUUUGCCUCCUCUGAAACAUCCUUUUAAAUUGCCAUCUGGGAUGAGAAGAGAUGUCAGCAAGCGGAGCAGCAGGUACUGCCCUAGAUCUGACCCAGAGCACUGAGGUCAAAGAUCAGUGUAGUGAACUGUGUGAGCCCCUCACUCUCUCAGCCCUGCUGGAGACUGCAGUCACAGUAACAGCACCAGGACAGGGGGCGUUCCGCUACGGACAGACCGCCUACUGGAACGUGACCAACAGCUGUGAACUGCCGCCAUGACUUCUGAUGUCUGGACCUUUCAAUGCAUGCACACACUAGCUGUUUGCCAACUAUGUGUUGAAAUUCAGCAAUAAAUACUUUAUGGUUUAAA